Molecule: ribosomal RNA, 318 nt
Filed under: Ixodes affinis
Lineage: Eukaryota; Metazoa; Arthropoda; Arachnida; Ixodida; Ixodidae
Description: partial 12S ribosomal RNA
Source: RNAcentral
UGAUACCCUAUUAUUUUAAGCUAUAUAUUGGUAGUAAUUAAUAAUUUAUGAAAUCAUAAGAUUUUGGCGGUAUUUUAAGCUUAUUAGAGGAAUUUGCUYUGUAAUGGAUACAACGCCUUAAUCUUACUUAAUUUGGUUUUAAAGUCAGUUUGUAUACCMCUAUAUUUAAUUAUAUUGAAUAAUUAUAUUUAAGAUUUUUUUUUAUAAAAAAUAUAUUAAGUCAAGGUGCAAUUUAUAAUUAUGAAUGAAGUGAAUUACAUUAAUUUUAAUUUUACUUAAAUAUUGAAAAAAAAAAUUAUAGGAUUUAAUAGUAAAAUG